Molecule: ribosomal RNA, 462 nt
Filed under: uncultured bacterium
Lineage: Bacteria
Description: partial 16S ribosomal RNA
Rfam family: Bacterial small subunit ribosomal RNA
Source: RNAcentral
AACAAACGCUGGCGGCGUGCCUAAUACAUGCAAGUCGAACGGGGAAAGCUUUCGGGUGAGUACUAGUGGCGCACGGGUGAGGAACGCGUGGAUAAUCUGCCUUAGAGUGGGGGAUAACUAGUCGAAAGAUUAGCUAAUACCGCAUAAGACCACGAGAGCUGCGGCUUUUGGGGUCAAAGGUUUUUCGCUCUAAGAUGAGUCCGCGUAAGAUUAGCUAGUUGGUGAGGUAACGGCUCACUAAGGCGACGAUCUUUAACUGGUCUGAGAGGAUGAUCAGUCACACUGGAACUGAGACGCGGUACAGACUCCUACGGGAGGCAGCAGUAGGGAAUAUUGCACAAUGGAGGAACCUCUGAUGCAGCGACGCCGCGUGAGAGAUGAAGGCCCUCGGGUCGUACAGCUCUGUCGAAGGGGAAUAACACAAUGAAGGUACCCUGUAAGAAAGGAUCGGCUAACUUCGUG